RNAcentral lists this ribosomal RNA (422 nucleotides) under Verrucomicrobiota bacterium. RNAcentral describes it as "Verrucomicrobia bacterium partial 16S ribosomal RNA". It matches the Rfam family "Bacterial small subunit ribosomal RNA", at positions 355 to 776 of the family's 1533-position model. Lineage: Bacteria; Pseudomonadati; Verrucomicrobiota. The record is from RNAcentral.
UGGGGAAUUUUGCACAAUGGGCGCAAGCCUGAUGCAGCGACGCCGCGUGAGGGAUGAAGGCCUUCGGGUUGUAAACCUUUUUCGCUCAUGGUCAAGCCGCAGCUUUGGGUUGUGGUGAGGGAAGUGGGUAAAGAAGCGCCGGCUAACUACGUGCCAGCAGCCGCGGUAAUACGUAGGGCGCGAGCGUUGUCCGGAAUUAUUGGGCGUAAAGGGCUGGUAGGCGGUUGGCCGCGUCUGCCGUGAAAUCCUCUGGCUUAACUGGGGGCGUGCGGUGGGUACGGGUUGACUUGAGUGCGGUAGGGGAGACUGGAAUUCCUGGUGUAGCGGUGGAAUGCGCAGAUAUCAGGAGGAACACCGGUGGCGAAGGCGGGUCUCUGGGCCGUUACUGACGCUGAGGAGCGAAAGCGUGGGGAGCGAACAGG